AUUGAACGCUGGCGGCAGGCCUAACACAUGCAAGUCGAACGAGUGGCGGACGGGUGAGUAAUGUCUGUGAAACUGCCCGAUGGAGGGGGAUAACUACUGGAAACGGUAGCUAAUACCGCAUACCAUCGGAUGUGCCCAGAUGGGAUUAGCUAGUGGGUGGGGUAACGGCUCACCUAGGCGACGAUCCCUAGCGGGUCUGCGAGGAUGACCAGCCACACUGGAACUGAGAAACGGCCCAGACGCCUACGGGAGGCAGCAGUGGGGAAUAUUGGACAAUGGGGGAAAGCCUGAUGCAGCCAUGCCGCGUGUAUGAAGAAGGCCUUCGGGUUGUAAAGUACUUUCAGCGAGGAGGCGUUACUCGCAGAAGAAGCACCGGCUAACUCCAUGCCAGCAGCCGCGGUAAUAC
Molecule: ribosomal RNA, 406 nt
Filed under: uncultured bacterium
Lineage: Bacteria
Description: partial 16S ribosomal RNA
Rfam family: Bacterial small subunit ribosomal RNA
Source: RNAcentral